Molecule: non-coding RNA, 28 nt
Filed under: Cricetulus griseus (Chinese hamster)
Lineage: Eukaryota; Metazoa; Chordata; Mammalia; Rodentia; Cricetidae
Source: RNAcentral
AAUCUGAGUUGAGAUGCUCUGCGUGCAU